AAAAUGAAGCCGGGAAACCGGUCCUUCUAACCCUUGAUUAUCUUAAUUUGUUGCUUUGGUGGGCCGCGCAAGCACUGGCUUCGGCUGGUUAGUGCCCACCAGAGGACCACAACUCUGUAAUAAAUGUCGUCUGAGUACUAUAAAAUAGUUA
This 151-nucleotide unclassified non-coding RNA is filed under the name uncultured Ascomycota. RNAcentral's name for it is "sequence contains ITS1". Lineage: Eukaryota; Fungi; Ascomycota. The record is from RNAcentral.